Anguilla rostrata (American eel) is the source of this 576-nucleotide long non-coding RNA. RefSeq lists it as uncharacterized. The record is from RefSeq and is a predicted model, not a curated record. NCBI's taxonomy places the organism in Eukaryota, Metazoa, Chordata, Actinopteri, Anguilliformes, Anguillidae. The transcript has 5 exons.
GAGUGGUAAGUAGCCUAUAAUGAAAUGUGAAAUUUAUUUGUUAAAAUAGUUGUUGAUCUGUAAAUAUGUACCAUUUUAGCCACCAAAAAAAAAAAAAGGAGAUGCCACUGCUACUGGUGGGGGACCUCCACCUGAGGACCUCACACCCGCAGAGAAGCUAGCGUUGAGUUACAACCGGGGGGCGCCCACUAAUAGAGGGAAUAGGGGGAUCUCAUCAGACAUCAUUCCCCAAGGUGCUUGGGAGCAAUAUGUGCAAGUGAGUGGAGACACUAUAUGCCUGCUAGAUCCCCCAACUCAAGAUGCCCAAGGCUUACCUGACCCAUGUGGAGAUGGCACCAGCAUGUCUAUGGCCCUUGAUGAGGAGACUAUUUCUGCAGUCAGAAAUGCCAGAGAACAUGAUCGGAACAACAAGUACUUCAGCAAGGAAUGAAGAUGUCCGUUCGAUUUACAAGCGUCAUCUGCUUAUUUGCAUUGAAAGUCAGAAACUGGACAUCAAGUCCCAAAAGUUAAAAAUUAAGAAGUUGCAGUUGGAGAGAAAGAAACUGGAGAAGGAUGUAAAUAUAAAAUUAAAACACA